CACACUAUCAUUAACUGAAUCCAUAGGUUAAUGAGGCGAACCGGGGGAACUGAAACAUCUAAGUACCCCGAGGAAAAGAAAUCAACCGAGAUUCCCCCAGUAGCGGCGAGCGAACGGGGAGGAGCCCAGAGCCUGAAUCAGUGUGUGUGUUAGUGGAAGCGUCUGGAAAGGCGCGCGAUACAGGGUGACAGCCCCGUACACAAAAAUGCACAUACUGUGAGCUCGAUGAGUAGGGCGGGACACGUGGUAUCCUGUCUGAAUAUGGGGGGACCAUCCUCCAAGGCUAAAUACUCCUGACUGACCGAUAGUGAACCAGUACCGUGAGGGAAAGGCGAAAAGAACCCCGGCGAGGGGAGUGAAAAAGAACCUGAAACCGUGUACGUACAAGCAGUGGGAGCCUCUUAAUGGGGUGACUGCGUACCUUUUGUAUAAUGGGUCAGCGACUUAUAUUCUGUAGCAAGGUUAACCGAAUAGGGGAGCCGAAGGGAAACCGAGUCUUAACUGGGCGUUAAGUUGCAGGGUAUAGACCCGAAACCCGGUGAUCUAGCYAUGGGCAGGUUGAAGGUUGGGUAACACUAACUGGAGGACCGAACCGACUAAUGUUGAAAAAUUAGCGGAUGACUUGUGGCUGGGGGUGAAAGGCCAAUCAAACCGGGAGAUAGCUGGUUCUCCCCGAAAGCUAUUUAGGUAGCGCCUCGUGAAUUCAUCUCCGGGGGUAGAGCACUGUUUCGGCAAGGGGGUCAUCCCGACUUACCAACCCGAUGCAAACUGCGAAUACCGGAGAAUGUUAUCACGGGAGACACACGGCGGGUGCUAACGUCCGUCGUGAAGAGGGAAACAACCCAGACCGCCAGCUAAGGUCCCAAAGUCAUGGUUAAGUGGGAAACGAUGUGGGAAGGCCCAGACAGCCAGGAUGUUGGCUUAGAAGCAGCCAUCAUUUAAAGAAAGCGUAAUAGCUCACUGGUCGAGUCGGCCUGCGCGGAAGAUGUAACGGGGCUAAACCAUGCACCGAAGCUGCGGCAGCGACGCUUAUGCGUUGUUGGGUAGGGGAGCGUUCUGUAAGCCUGUGAAGGUGGCCUGUGAGGGUUGCUGGAGGUAUCAGAAGUGCGAAUGCUGACAUAAGUAACGAUAAAGCGGGUGAAAAGCCCGCUCGCCGGAAGACCAAGGGUUCCUGUCCAACGUUAAUCGGGGCAGGGUGAGUCGACCCCUAAGGCGAGGCCGAAAGGCGUAGUCGAUGGGAAACAGGUUAAUAUUCCUGUACUUGGUGUUACUGCGAAGGGGGGACGGAGAAGGCUAUGUUGGCCGGGCGACGGUUGUCCCGGUUUAAGCGUGUAGGCUGGUUUUCCAGGCAAAUCCGGAAAAUCAAGGCUGAGGCGUGAUGACGAGGCACUACGGUGCUGAAGCGACAAAUGCCCUGCUUCCAGGAAAAGCCUCUAAGCAUCAGGUAACAUUAAAUCGUACCCCAAACCGACACAGGUGGUCAGGUAGAGAAUACCAAGGCGCUUGAGAGAACUCGGGUGAAGGAACUAGGCAAAAUGGUGCCGUAACUUCGGGAGAAGGCACGCUGAUAUGUAGGUGAAGCGACUUGCUCGUGGAGCUGAAAUCAGUCGAAGAUACCAGCUGGCUGCAACUGUUUAUUAAAAACACAGCACUGUGCAAACACGAAAGUGGACGUAUACGGUGUGACGCCUGCCCGGUGCCGGAAGGUUAAUUGAUGGGGUUAGCGGUAACGCGAAGCUCUUGAUCGAAGCCCCGGUAAACGGCGGCCGUAACUAUAACGGUCCUAAGGUAGCGAAAUUCCUUGUCGGGUAAGUUCCGACCUGCACGAAUGGCGUAAUGAUGGCCAGGCUGUCUCCACCCGAGACUCAGUGAAAUUGAACUCGCUGUGAAGAUGCAGUGUACCCGCGGCAAGACGGAAAGACCCCGUGAACCUUUACUAUAGCUUGACACUGAACAUUGAGCCUUGAUGUGUAGGAUAGGUGGGAGGCUUUGAAGUGUGGACGCCAGUCUGCAUGGAGCCGACCUUGAAAUACCACCCUUUAAUGUUUGAUGUUCUAACGUGGGCCCCUUACCGGGGUUGCGGACAGUGUCUGGUGGGUAGUUUGACUGGGGCGGUCUCCUCCUAAAGAGUAACGGAGGAGCACGAAGGUUGGCUAAUCCUGGUCGGACAUCAGGAGGUUAGUGCAAUGGCAUAAGCCAGCUUGACUGCGAGCGUGACGGCGCGAGCAGGUGCGAAAGCAGGUCAUAGUGAUCCGGUGGUUCUGAAUGGAAGGGCCAUCGCUCAACGGAUAAAAGGUACUCCGGGGAUAACAGGCUGAUACCGCCCAAGAGUUCAUAUCGACGGCGGUGUUUGGCACCUCGAUGUCGGCUCAUCACAUCCUGGGGCUGAAGUAGGUCCCAAGGGUAUGGCUGUUCGCCAUUUAAAGUGGUACGCGAGCUGGGUUUAGAACGUCGUGAGACAGUUCGGUCCCUAUCUGCCGUGGGCGCUGGAGAACUGAGGGGGGCUGCUCCUAGUACGAGAGGACCGGAGUGGACGCAUCACUGGUGUUCGGGUUGUCAUGCCAAUGGCACUGCCCGGUAGCUAAAUGCGGAAGAGAUAAGUGCUGAAAGCAUCUAAGCACGAAACUUGCCCCGAGAUGAGUUCUCCCUGACUCCUUGAGAGUCCUGAAGGAACGUUGAAGACGACGACGUUGAUAGGCCGGGUGUGUAAGCGCAGCGAUGCGUUGAGCUAACCGGUACUAAUGAACCGUGAGGCUUAACCUUACAACGCCGAAGGUGUUU
This 2781-nucleotide ribosomal RNA is filed under the name Escherichia coli. RNAcentral describes it as "bacterial LSU rRNA". It matches the Rfam family "Bacterial large subunit ribosomal RNA". The record is from RNAcentral. Lineage: Bacteria; Pseudomonadati; Pseudomonadota; Gammaproteobacteria; Enterobacterales; Enterobacteriaceae.